GUGGUCAGGAUGAUUAUUGGGCCUAAAGCAUCCGUAGCCGGCUCUGUAAGUUUUCGGUUAAAUCUGUACGCUCAACGUACAGGCUGCCGGGAAUACUGCAGAGCUAGGGAGUGGGGAGAGGUAGACGGUACUCGGUAGGAAGGGGUAAAAUCCUUUGAUCUAUUGAUGACCACCUGUGGCGAAGGCGGUCUACCAGAACACGUCCGACGGUGAGGGAUGAAAGCUGGGGGAGCAAACCGGAUUAGAUACCCGGGUAGUCCCAGCUGUAAACUAUGCAAACUCAGUGAUGCAUUGGCUUGUGGCCAAUGCAGUGCUGCAGGGAAGCCGUUAAGUUUGCCGCCUGGGAAGUACGUACGCAAGUAUGAAACUUAAAGGAAUUGGCGGGGGAGCACCACAAGGGGUGAAGCCUGCGGUUCAAUUGGAGUCAACGCCAGAAAUCUUACCCGGAGAGACAGCAGAAUGAAGGUCAAGCUGAAGACUUUACCAGACAAGCUGAGAGGUGGUGCAUGGCC
This 512-nucleotide ribosomal RNA is filed under the name uncultured archaeon. Its description in RNAcentral is "bacterial SSU rRNA". It matches the Rfam family "Archaeal small subunit ribosomal RNA", at positions 488 to 999 of the family's 1478-position model. The record is from RNAcentral.